GAUUAACGCUGGCGGCGUGCCUAAUACAUGCAAGUCGAACGGAGAAUUAGCAAUAGUUCUUAGUGGCGAAUGGGUGAGUAACGCGUUGGUGACCUGCCCCAAAGUGAGGGAUAACAGUUCGAAAGGACUGCUAAUACCACAUGUGGUUAGUGGAUUUAGAAACUGCUAACUAAAGGAGUAAUUCGCUUUGGGAGGGGCCUGCGUCCCAUCAGCUAGUUGGUAGGGUAAUAGCCUACCAAGGGCUACGACGGGUAGGGGGCCUGAGAGGGUGGCCCCCCACACUGGCGACUGAAACAACGGGCCGACGACACCUACGGGAGGCAG
Molecule: ribosomal RNA, 324 nt
Filed under: uncultured Chloroflexota bacterium
Lineage: Bacteria; Bacillati; Chloroflexota
Description: bacterial SSU rRNA
Rfam family: Bacterial small subunit ribosomal RNA
Source: RNAcentral